AAACUAACAAGGAUUCCCCUAGUCACUGCNAGUGAAGCGGGAAGAGCUCAAAUUUAAAAUCUGGCGGUCUUUGGCCGUCCGAGUUGUACUCUGGAGAAGUGCUUUCCGUGCCGGACCGUGUACAAGUCUCUUGGAACAGAGCGUCGUAGAGGGUGAGAAUCCCGUCUUUGACACGGACUACCGGUGCUUUGUGAUGCGCUCUCAAAGAGUCGAGUUGUUUGGGAAUGCAGCKCAAAAUGGGUGGUAAAUUCCAUCUAAAGCUAAAUAUUGGCGAGAGACCGAUAGCUCACAAGUACCGCGAGGGAAAGGUGAAAAGCACUUUGGAAAGAGAGUGAAACAGAUGUGAAAGCGCUAUCAGGGAAAGGUUGGCUAGCGCUGUCGUCCGUCCGUCACGCUUCACGGCGUGGCGGCGACGCGUCAGGACCCAUUGGGACCGGGAGAAACGGGGGUGAGGGAAUCGGCCCUUCGGGGUGUUGCAACCUCGCCUCACGAGCGCUCGGGAUCGAUGCGGAGAUAGGCACACGGCAACGUUGUGCCUUCCCUGGCAACGUGCUCAGUCAACCACCCGUCUUGAAACACGGACCAAGGAGUGCAUGUCGCCUGCGAGUCGAAGGGUCUGAACACCUGGAGGCGUAGCGAAAGCGUUGAUGGCGAACCCGCAAGGGGGCUGCCACGCCCAUGCUUGCAUGAGGCUGAGCAGGUGGGAUGCGACCCGAAAGAUGGUGAACUAUACCCGGGCAGGAUGAAGCCGGUGGAAACGCCGGUGGAGGUCCGUAGCGGUUCUGACGUGCAAAUCGAUCGUGUGACCCGGGUAUAGGGGCGAAAGACCUAUCGAACCUGCAAURGCUGGUCCUNNNN
Molecule: ribosomal RNA, 858 nt
Filed under: Tulasnella sp. GEL4745
Lineage: Eukaryota; Fungi; Basidiomycota; Agaricomycetes; Cantharellales; Tulasnellaceae
Description: eukaryotic LSU rRNA
Rfam family: Eukaryotic large subunit ribosomal RNA
Source: RNAcentral